AUUCUCCUGCCUCAGCUUCCGGAGCAGCUGGGACUGCUGGCGCCCGCCACUACGCUCGGCUAAUUUUUUUGUGUUUUUAGUAGAGACGGGCUUUCACCGUGUUGGCCUAGCGGUUCUCCAACUCCUGACCUCAUGAUCCCCCCGCCUCAGCCUCCCAAAGUGCUGGGAUUACAAGCGUGAGCCACCGCGACCCGCCAACACUCUUGACAACAGUGCUGUGCUAAGAACUUGGGGGACUUCAAAAAGUUCACCAGUUCCUGUGUCCAUGGGUGAAAAGAUUUUCUACAUCUUUCCUUGACUAGAAACAGAAGUCCUGAAACAAGAAUAUAACGUCAGGAGGCCAGAGGCUUUGUCCUGCCUAAUGUGUUAUUUCCACACUGAAUAAAAGCACCUGAGUCCUGCAUUUUAAAAAGGUUGUACAUCUAGCAAUACCUAACAAAAUAGGAAAUCAACUUGAGAAAAAGCAGCAAGGCCAAAUAAAUUGAUACAGAAGAAAUGUUUAGAUAUGUUUUUGCAAGUUUCUGCAUAUCUGAAAUAGAACCAAUACAUCACAUGGAAAGCCAAUGGCUGUGUUUUGAGUUUAUGGAGAGCCAUAUGUGGCAAGGAACUGAGGGUGGCAUCCAGGCAACAGACUUCAAGAAACUGAGGCUGUCAGUCCAACAACCCACAAGAACUGAAUCUGACCAACAAUCACAGGAACAAACUUAGAAGUAUACUCUUUCCCAGACAAACCUUCAGAUGAGACCACAGCCCCAGCCAUAAGCUUGAAAACAAUCUCAUGAGGGACCUUGAGCCACAGGCAUGUAGUAAAGCUAUGCCAGGAAUCCUGCCUGCCCCACAGAAAAUGUAAAAAAAAUAAAUUUUUAUUGUUUUAAGCCA
This 879-nucleotide long non-coding RNA is filed under the name Homo sapiens (human). Its description in RNAcentral is "long intergenic non-protein coding RNA 2327". Lineage: Eukaryota; Metazoa; Chordata; Mammalia; Primates; Hominidae. The record is from RNAcentral.